ACUACAUAAUCAUUCAUUAUCUUUACAAUUAACCAUCUAAAACUACCACAAUUCUUUAAUCAAAGUACAUAUCUACAUAUAUAGAGAGAGUACACUUCAUAAUUUCGUCCCUUGUCUUCCGUAAACGUAGCACAAAAAUUUGAUACCAAGUAUUGUAAGGCAGGUCGUAGAAACAGUCUUCCUGCACAUUUAAAAAUAAUAACAAGUCAAAAAAAUGAAGUAAAUAGGUCACCAGAGGCACUUAGUGCCAAAAUCAAUACGACAAUAGAGUUGUUACGUGGUAGUAAUGUACACCGUAUUGCUCAUAAACAGAAAAAGGCAAAUAGACAAUCACAAUAUCAUUUGCUACAAAUCCAAAUAGGCAAUCACAUCUCUAUGGAUGCGUCCAUAUGCAUGAAGAUAAAUAAGAGCUUUAAUGUACGAAAUAUACCUCACAAAUUAAUACUUAAUUUAUUUUUAUAUACCUCACAAAUUAAUGUACGGAAUAUUUGAAACUAUACUAUCAGAAUCCUUCCUUUAUAAGAUGGAUCUAAUUGGUUGGUUACUCGCCACUCCUUGAGCCUACCACAUAAACCAACACGUGCGACAUUGAACUAUCAUCAUCAUGGCCUGGAGACUAGCUUUCAGAAUUCUUAUGUUGGGAUUUAGUACUUACAAAACUAAUAAAAGACACAAGUUUAACUUUCCCUGCACAUAUUAGUGUAGACAAGUGUUUUAACUUUUUAAUUACUACCAUAGUGCUUGCAAGCAAAACAGAUUGAUCACGCAACAUUCUUUAGGUUGGAAAACACACAAUCUACAUCACCCAAACUAAAAGGCAUUACAAAAUUGACAUAGUCCAACACAAACUAACUUUAAAAUCCCAUAAACUCAGGCCAAAUUCAAUUGUUCACCAAACAAUGUUGAUUAUCACACAUAUCAGAAACCUAGUACAAUAAGAAUGCAUUUAAUUUAAAAGCAUUUCACAAAAACAGAAAAUUUUGAAAGUAUAACAUUUUGAGUGAGAACUUAAUAUAUGGUGAAGGAGCAAAUGGAUAGCAAUCAAGCACAAACUUGAAGAUCUUACUAUAGAGGAUAAAUAAAUUUUCAACCAAAUUAUCAUGUUGGCGAAGGUUCACUGAAAGAGCAUUGGCCACCUGAAGUGAAGAAGCAAACUCCCGCAAAAACAAUCUCCACCUCUGGCCUGUCUAAUGAGUAAUGACUAUAACUCUAUAAUAUGUAGACCCACCCGUGUAGUGAGGUAGUACAAUGUUCAUAACACAACAGAACCAACAUUAAAUUUGGUAACAUAAUAAGAUGUCGUUAUAAGUUGCAUAUGACAAGGUAAUUAAAUGAUUAGAUAUGACAAUUUUCAAAAUGAAAUUGAGCUGACAGAAUAAUACAACCUUUGUUUUUAGGAAUGUGGGUCGCAUCUCUUCAUUGCAAUAGGGAAUUUUUAAAACCUCAGUGUCAAACUGUAGCAUUCUCCACCUCUGUACUUGAGAAGAACUUUGUUUGCUUGUCUUCACAUUCUUUGUAUUUUCUGUAAUUUAUUUCCUGGAAUUAGACAUGUGUUCUUCUAAUUCCACUUAAAAUUUCGAAGGACAAAUAUCAAAAGUUUUAUUUUUGUCAUUUCUAUUUAUCGCUUGAUAAACAAAGUGUGUCAACAAAGUACCACUGUUUGUAGCAUGAUAACCCACAUCACCACAUGCCUUUAUUGGCAUUAUAUCAUCAAAUAUGUACGAUAGAUUUUCAUUCUGGCUUACAUUGUUCCAUAAGAUCUUAGGUACAUCUAAUUACAACAACAACUAGUUAGUAUCAGUAAUUUCAAGUAUCUUAACUUACUAGUUGAAAAUAAUUCUAGGGACUCAUCAAGAUUGAUACCUUCUUGGAGAGCAACUCAUCACCUUGCCAUUCCCAUAUCUUUCUGUUGCCAUUUCACAAACACACACAAAAAAAAAUUGAUUAACAAUUGUUAUAUUCCACCUACUACAGAAACAGAAAACUUCAUAUAAAAGAGUUUUGCUAGCUUGGAAAGAAUAUGUGUUACAUUUCAAAGAACUCACUUUUACUAUUUUACACGAGAAUUUAUAACUAAUUAUAAUCAAAUUUGAAGUUAAAAUAAAAUGUAAGAUAAGAAAGAAAGAACGAAAUAAUAUUCUUACACAAAAUAACUGACCCCAUCCUUGGUACUUUUGCAAAGCAUAUUUAACUUUAUGGCAUACUAUAAUUAGGUUGAAUGCAUGAAAUAUCAUAACAAGUAAUAUUGGUUUAAAUGUUUAAUAAAGUCUAAGAUAUUUACAAAAGAAGAUAGAAAAAAUUUCAGCAAUUGCUAAAAACAUGCUCAAAUAAUAUCUCAAAAAAUUAGUAUAUAUGAUACAAUAUAAAUUAGCAAAAUACAUAAAACUUAAAAUUUUUAAUAAAAAUAAUAAUACUUUAGUCCACAUUAAGCAAUGUUAAUAAAAAUAGCCUAUAAUACUCCCCCCUGUUCCAAAAAGAAACAAGUACUCUCACAGAGAUCUCACAGAGAGGGCAGUACAUUGUAACAAUUGAGUAUUUUCAAACUCAACUUCAAUUUCAUAUUUAUCUAGAAAAAGGUCAUUAAAUUAUUUUAAAUACACAAAUUACUAAGAUCUUAACCAUAAUUUUCCCAUGAUUACACUAAUUUUGUAGCUAGAAUAAAUAAACAUAUUACAUUUCUCUAUAAACUUGGCAUUAAAGAACAAACUAACAGAACUGGAGUUUAUGAAUCAAGCAAAAAAAUGAGCCAGACCCAUAUCACCAAAUGAAAAAUUGGCAAGCUUGAUUGCAAAGGGUUUGUGAUUCAGAUCUAAAAAUCAGAAGCUCGGCACAAAAAAUCCCACAUGUAGAGUGAAACAAAACUACAAACAUGAAGAGAAACAUGGUAUGAAAGGAAGAAAGACCCACUAGCCUUACUAGUUGAUGCCUGCCCCAUUGACGAACCUGGGUAAGCAUGCUGCAAACACUGCAACACUGGUGCAGUAGAAAUCUUAUUCUUCUGUUUCUUCAUCAUUGCUUUCUUUGCUUUUGCCCCCAUCUAAUUGACCUUAAAACCAAGCAAAUUGCACUGAAUCUACAGGCACAAAAUUGAUUAUAGUUAAAUCAAGUACUUCAUAAUCUUCACAAACAGUAAUAGAAAUCAAACAAAC
This 3149-nucleotide long non-coding RNA is filed under the name Panax ginseng (ginseng). RNAcentral describes it as "long non-coding RNA (PGIN_LNC013258)". Lineage: Eukaryota; Viridiplantae; Streptophyta; Magnoliopsida; Apiales; Araliaceae. The record is from RNAcentral.